AGAGGGCGGAAUUAUUCGGACAAUAGGGUGCAAGCCUGAUCCAGCAAUGCCGCGUGAGUGAUGAAGGCCUUCGGGUCGUAAAGCUCUUUUACCAGGGAUGAUAAUGACAGUACCUGGAGAAUAAGCUCCGGCUAACUCCGUGCCAGCAGCCGCGGUAAUACGGAGGGAGCUAGCGUUGUUCGGAAUUACUGGGCGUAAAGAGUACGUAGGCGGCUAUUCAAGUCAGAGGUGAAAGCCCGGGGCUCAACCCCGGAACUGCCUUUGAAACUAGGUAGCUAGAAUCUUGGAGAGGUCAGUGGAAUUCCGAGUGUAGAGGUGAAAUUCGUAGAUAUUCGGAAGAACACCAGUGGCGAAGGCGACUGACUGGACAAGUAUUGACGCUGAGGUGCGAAAGCGUGGGGAGCAAACAGGAUUAGAUACCCCUGGUAGA
Molecule: ribosomal RNA, 430 nt
Filed under: uncultured Novosphingobium sp.
Lineage: Bacteria; Pseudomonadati; Pseudomonadota; Alphaproteobacteria; Sphingomonadales; Sphingomonadaceae
Description: bacterial SSU rRNA
Rfam family: Bacterial small subunit ribosomal RNA
Source: RNAcentral